Small nucleolar RNA from Mustela putorius furo (domestic ferret), 80 nucleotides. Ensembl annotates it as small nucleolar RNA, C/D box 105B. Its record names the gene SNORD105B. NCBI's taxonomy places the organism in Eukaryota, Metazoa, Chordata, Mammalia, Carnivora, Mustelidae. The record is from Ensembl.
UCACGUGCGGCUGAUGACCACGCUGCGGCUGAGGCGCUGUGAUUGCUCAGUCUCAAAGUAAACGCUCUGACGCACUGUGG